RNAcentral lists this long non-coding RNA (280 nucleotides) under Solanum tuberosum (potato). RNAcentral describes it as "long non-coding RNA (STUB_LNC001052)". Lineage: Eukaryota; Viridiplantae; Streptophyta; Magnoliopsida; Solanales; Solanaceae. The record is from RNAcentral.
CACUUAUAAGGACCAGAAGCCAAGUCUCUUAACCGCUCAUCACUUAUGUUGUUAGCUGGAUUGAGAACCUAAAAAAUACACAAAAUAGACCUAUGAUCUAUAUAGUUAUGUAUAAAUUAUAAUUUGAUGUAGAUAAAUAAAAAUAGGAACUUCUUCAUACUAUAGUAUUUUACUCACAUAAGCUUCGAACCAGUUGGCAAAUCUACUAUUCGUCUCUUUAUCAAUUUCCUCGAGACUGAUAUUUUCUGAAUUUCUUUUCAAUUCAGCUUCAAAGAUACUA